UUCUUUUUGUGUUUUUUUU
RNAcentral lists this small RNA (19 nucleotides) under Arabidopsis thaliana (thale cress). Its description in RNAcentral is "ATSL068550". The record is from RNAcentral. Lineage: Eukaryota; Viridiplantae; Streptophyta; Magnoliopsida; Brassicales; Brassicaceae.